UGGUAUGGCCGUGUGGUCAGC
RNAcentral lists this unclassified non-coding RNA (21 nucleotides) under Chlamydomonas reinhardtii. Its description in RNAcentral is "small RNA Cre_3432". Lineage: Eukaryota; Viridiplantae; Chlorophyta; Chlorophyceae; Chlamydomonadales; Chlamydomonadaceae. The record is from RNAcentral.